UACGUAGGUGGCAAGCGUUGUCCGGAUUUACUGGGCGUAAAGCGUGCGCAGGCGGUUUUGUAAGUCUGGCGUGAAAUCCCCGGGCUCAACCUGGGAAUUGCGAUGGAGACUGCAAGGCUAGAAUCUGGCAGAGGGGGGUAGAAUUCCACGUGUAGCAGUGAAAUGCGUAGAGAUGUGGAGGAACACCGAUGGCGAAGGCAGCCCCCUGGGUCAAGAUUGACGCUCAUGCACGGAAGCGUGGGGAGCAAACAGG
Molecule: ribosomal RNA, 253 nt
Filed under: uncultured bacterium
Lineage: Bacteria
Description: partial 16S ribosomal RNA
Rfam family: Bacterial small subunit ribosomal RNA
Source: RNAcentral